AAAUUAAUUUUAAAAAUGAAAAGAAAUGACGUGGCAUCAUGCUUUUAUACGACGACACUCGGCUUUUACCCGCCAGAAUACUCGAGCCAUUGCGAUCUCCUUCUCGCUUCCAAGGCACGGAGGUCGACGGCGAUCGAAGAUGAACCGAGAGUUUCUUUAAUCGCUUUCAUUCGGUGAGAAACUGCCAUGCCGAUUCGAUCUUCUCCAUAUUACCGAAACGAGCGGUGGAAACUUCUCUCGCGGUAUUUGGCUGCGAACCGGUUGUGGAAAAAAUCGAAAAGAUCGAGUUCACUGUUCCUCAUUUAUCGAGGACGAAUGUUUUAUCACCUUGCUAGUUUCGUUGACGACUAUAGCGUACUAGAGUCACUUGAUUGCGAUCAGCGGGAUACGAUAGCUCGGUUGAUCGGUGAACUUGACAGCAGAGUGGCGUUUCUUGCCUUUUGUGCACUCUAUAAUGGUUAGUUAGAGUUUUCGGUUCAACUGAUAUUGCUGUUGCACUUGUAUUCUUUCUUUAAUAGUCAUAAUGGAGGAAGUCGUUUGCAUAUUUUUCUCCUCGACUGGUGUUCUUUUGAGUUUGGUUUUCAUCGAGAUUUGCGUUUGCGCAUCUCACACUUGAUAAUGCUUGUUUCGGUCUUCUUAACUAUUUAAUUAUGAUGCGAUAAACAGGCGGAUAUUAGAAAGUGGUUCAUGAAAGCACACGAUAAAGACAGCGGCAAUGCGUCAAAGCAUGCAAAACCUGCUCCAAGCACUUUUGAGAAAUCCGCUUCAGCUGAACUCUACAGUCCGGAAAAACAGUGUGUCUUCUGACCCUACUCUUCUUAGCAGUAUGGAUGGCAUGUUCCAAGUAUCAUUAUAUUCUUGAUUCAUCUCUAGUUUCUCUAGCUGCGUAUUUCGCUGGUCCUUUAUUUUAUAAAAACUCCUUGUUAUGUGGAUGGAUUAUUGAUGUCUGUUUCUGGAACCAUAGUUCUUGUAUGACUUGGUGUAUCUGGUGUUUCUGAAGGAAAAUGGAGCUAUAUUUAAUACCUGGUCUUGACUUCAUUUCUGAUGAGGUGUCAUAAAAAGCACAUAACCUUGAUGUUAAUUAAUCGUCUCUAGUUUUUGGUUUGAUCCUGCAAGAAAGAUAAACUCAGAAUAGAAAAACUCUUGGUAUUCUGGUUUGUAAAUAGAAAGGAUGCACUUCAGAACGAGUAAAAGCAGCUAGAUAUGUUGGAAUUGCUACAGGUGGAACUCCUCUGGGUAAUCCUUGACGUUAAAAUGUUAGAGGUGUUGAUGAGGGAGGAUGAAUAUUGGAGACAAAAAACCUCAUGAUGGAAAGUUAGAUGCGGAGUCUUGUUACGAGCAGGAGACACCAAAUCUAAAGUUGUUUGGUUAUUUCAACAACUUACUUCAACAAGAAAGUUGGACGAAAGUGGCUUUCUCAUAUUAGGGCAUGCCUGGAGAUUCUUAUGGUAACUGCUGGAAUGGAAGCUGAGAUGGGAUGCCUUGUUGAGAUGACAUUUUGUAGAUGCAGAGAUUUCAGGAGGCUUGACUCAUUGGUCUUAUGAAAUUUUACAAAAAAAGGAAAAUUAUAUUAAUUAUAGGCCAAGCUCUGUUCGUAAGGAUGACAAUGGGGUCAAACGGAUGGAUUUGAUUGCCUGUGCAGCUGAUUCUAUUGCAGAUGGGGAUAUAAUCAAUGUACAAAUUCAAAGGCAUCGACAGUAGCAACUCUCUCAAGAGUAGUUCUAUUGCUUCUUGUGUAAUACCAGCUUGAUUAUUGCAUGGGCAAAGAGAAACGCUGGAGCAGGGAGAGUGUAAUUUUAACAGAUUUGGUGCAUGGCUGGGAAAAAAAAUUCAACAUUUGGAAAACAUAUGAGGCUUUUGGAAGACUUUCACGUUCACAUUCUUGCUUCUCGCGAGUCCUGUUCAUGGAGGGAACACCUACAAGCUGAGAACCUUACUCUUUUUCUAAAGAGGUUGACUGAGCCACUGGCAAGCUGCCUGAGAAUGAAGCAGUUAAAAUGGUUGUUGAGUUUAUGAGUCUAUAUUCAAUCAAUCAGGAGGAUUUUGAUACUGUUCUUGAGUUGUCAAAAUUUCAGGGUCGUAAGAAUUUAUUGGAUGGCGUGCCCCUGCUGUGAAAUAUGCUCUAACAAAGGCAUACAAAGAAGUAAGCAAGACACGUAUGGGGAUACAGUUCCUGCAAUGAAAAAAAGCCCCAAAAAAGCGAAGACUCUAGAACUCUUGGGACAACAAGGGUGCAGGUAAGCUUUGAUCCGUCUUUUCGAGGUCAGCGGUUAGUGAAUGAGUUGCGCUUGAUGGGCAAGUCCUGCUUCUCUAGUUGCCAAUUAUUCCUUGUUGCAAUUAUAGAAGACUCCACAAACGGUGAGAAGUUGCGACUGGAACUUCAAAGCUUGAGUAAGAAACUGCAAUCGGAAUAUGAAGUCCUUGCUAUUGGACUUUAUAUUUACUAUUUUGUUUGGAAUGCAAGUGCAGUUGGAAUUGAAAGGCGUGGAAAAUUCAAGCUUCAAGAAAUUCGGUGGCAGAGGAAGAGGAGGUAGUUCCCAGGAUUCAAAGAAGAAAGGUGGGCGAGGUUCAGGAUCUGCCACAAAGAGGAGAAAAUGAAAUAAAACGCUUCUAGAACUUCUGGUAAUGUUAUCAUGUUCUACGCCCCAUGCAUGCAUUAUUUUGCUGAUAUAUGUGUUUGAACUGCUAGAGGAAUACAUAACCUUGUAUAUGCUACAUGUUACAUAGGCCAUUUUGACGUAUAACAGAAACAUGCUUUUGUAUCAACCA
Long non-coding RNA from Cucurbita moschata (crookneck pumpkin), 2769 nucleotides. RefSeq lists it as uncharacterized. The record is from RefSeq and is a predicted model, not a curated record. The transcript has 10 exons. NCBI's taxonomy places the organism in Eukaryota, Viridiplantae, Streptophyta, Magnoliopsida, Cucurbitales, Cucurbitaceae.